CAUACCUAUUGUUGCUUCGGCGGGAUUGCCCCGGGCGCCUCGUGUGCCCCGGAUCAGGCGCCCGCCUAGGAAACUUAACUCUUGUUUUAUUUUGGAAUCUUCUGAGUAGUUUUUACAAAUAAAUAAAAACUUUCAACAACGGAUCUCUUGGUUCUGGCAUCGAUGAAGAACGCAGCGAAAUGCGAUAAGUAAUGUGAAUUGCAGAAUUCAGUGAAUCAUCGAAUCUUUGAACGCACAUUGCGCCCGCCAGUAUUCUGGCGGGCAUGCCUGUCUGAGCGUCAUUUCAACCCUCAUGCCCCUAGGGCGUGGUGUUGGGGAUCGGCCAAAGCCCGCGAGGGACGGCCGGCCCCUAAAUCUAGUGGCGGACCCGUCGUGGCCUCCUCUGCGAAGUAGUGAUAUUCCGCAUCGGAGAGCGACGAGCCCCUGCCGUUAAACCCCCAACUUUCCAAGGUUGACCUCAGAUCAGGUAGGAAUACCCGCUGAACUUAAGCAUAUCAAUAAGCGGAGGAA
Molecule: ribosomal RNA, 510 nt
Filed under: Clonostachys rosea
Lineage: Eukaryota; Fungi; Ascomycota; Sordariomycetes; Hypocreales; Bionectriaceae
Description: eukaryotic LSU rRNA
Rfam family: 5.8S ribosomal RNA (bases 128-281)
Source: RNAcentral